RNAcentral lists this ribosomal RNA (382 nucleotides) under uncultured Roseburia sp. RNAcentral describes it as "bacterial SSU rRNA". It matches the Rfam family "Bacterial small subunit ribosomal RNA", at positions 355 to 753 of the family's 1533-position model. Lineage: Bacteria; Bacillati; Bacillota; Clostridia; Lachnospirales; Lachnospiraceae. The record is from RNAcentral.
UGGGGAAUAUUGCACAAUGGGGGGAAACCCUGAUGCAGCGACGCCGCGUGAACGAAGAAGUAUUUCGGUAUGUAAAGUUCUAUCAGCAGGGAAGAUAAUGACGGUACCUGACUAAGAAGCACCGGCUAAAUACGUGCCAGCAGCCGCGGUAAUACGUAUGGUGCAAGCGUUAUCCGGAUUUACUGGGUGUAAAGGGAGCGCAGGCGGUGCGGCAAGUCUGAUGUGAAAUCCCGGGGCUCAACCCUGGAACUGCAUUGGAAACUGUCAGACUAGAGUGCCGGAGAGGUAAGUGGAAUUCCUAGUGUAGCGGUGAAAUGCGUAGAUAUUAGGAAGAACACCAGUGGCGAAGGCGGCUUACUGGACGGUAACUGACGCUGAGGCU